This 1240-nucleotide ribosomal RNA is filed under the name uncultured Rhizaria. RNAcentral describes it as "SSU rRNA". It matches the Rfam family "Eukaryotic small subunit ribosomal RNA", at positions 577 to 1828 of the family's 1831-position model. The record is from RNAcentral.
CGGUAAUUCCAGCUCCAAUAGCGUAUACUAAAGUUGUUGCAGUUAAAAAGCUCGUAGUUGGAUUUCUGCGGGGACGGAGCGGCCGGACGCAACUUGCGUCUCGAGCUAGCGCUUUCCCCGCAUCCUGCCGCGAACCGUGCUACCAUUAGCUUGGUGGCGCUGGGGAUCGGCUCGAUUACUUUGAGAAAAAUAGAGUGUUCAAAGCAGGCCACACGCCUUGAAUAAGUUAGCAUGGAAUAAUGACUAAGGACUUUGGUUCUUUUCGUUGGUGUUCGGGACUGAAGUAAUGAUUGAUAGGGACAGUUGGGGCGGUCUGUAUUCCAAAGCGAGAGGUGAAAUUCUUAGACCUUCGGAAGACAAACAGCUGCGAAAGCGUUCCGCAAGGAUGUUCCCUUUGAUCAAGAACAAAAGUUGGGGGAUCGAAGACGAUCAGAUACCGUCGUAGUCUCAACUAUAAACUAUACCAGCUAGGGAUCGGCCAACGUUUAAUUAUUCGACUUGGUCGGCACCUUAUGGGAAAUCAAAGCAUCUGGGUUCCGGGGGGAGUAUGGUCGCAAGGCUGAAACUUAAAGGAAUUGACGGAAGGGCACCACCAGGCGUGGAGCCUGUGGCUUAAUUUGACUCAACACGGGAAAACUUACCAGGUCCAGACAUAGGAAGGAUUGACAGAUUGAUAGCUCUUUCUUGAUUCUGUGGGUGGUGGUGCAUGGCCGUUUUUAGUCGGUGAAGUGAUUUGUCUGCUUAAUUGCGUUAACGGACGAGACCCCAGCCUGCUAAAUAGCGCGGCCGAGCUUUGCUCGGUGCGAGCUUCUUAGAGGGACCAUGAUGCGCGAUAGCACAAGGAAGUUUGGGGCAACAACAGGUCUGUGAUGCCCUUAGAUGUUCUGGGCCGCACACGGGCUACACUGGCGCCUGCAACGAGCAUAUCAGCUGGCCCGAGAGGGUCUUGGCUAAUCUUUGGAACCGGCGCCGUGCUUGGGAUUGACCAUUGCAAUUGUUGGUCAUGCAACGAGGAAUGCCUUGUAAACGCGAGUCAUCAGCUCGCAUUGAAUACGUCCCUGCCCUUUGUACACACCGCCCGUCGCUCCUACCGAUGAAUGUUCCGAUGAAAUUUUCGGAGAGCGCCAGAGAACGGGGCUCUGCCCUGCAGAACUGGAGGCUCAAAGUCACUUAAAUCUGAACAUUUCGAGGAAGGAGAAGUCGUAACAAGGUUUCCGUAGGUGAACCUGCAGAAGGAUCA